RNAcentral lists this unclassified non-coding RNA (359 nucleotides) under Hevea brasiliensis (rubber tree). The record is from RNAcentral. Lineage: Eukaryota; Viridiplantae; Streptophyta; Magnoliopsida; Malpighiales; Euphorbiaceae.
GUUGGUACACCAGAUUAUAUUGCUCCAGAAGUAUUGCUGAAGAAAGGAUAUGGCAUGGAUUGUGAUUGGUGGUCGCUAGGUGCAAUAAUGUAUGAGAUGCUUGUUGGUUAUCCUCCAUUUUAUUCUGAUGAUCCAGUAACAACAUGCAGAAAGAUUGUGCAUUGGAAAAAUCACUUGAAAUUUCCAGAUGAGGCAAGGCUGACACCUGAAGCAAAGGAUCUAAUCUGUAGGUUGCUUUGUGAUGUUGAACAUAGGCUUGGUACUCUUGGGGCAGACCAAAUUAAAGCUCAUCCCUGGUUCAAAGAUAUUGCAUGGAACAAAAUUUAUGAGAUGGAGGCAGCAUUUAAACCAGAAGUCAA